Molecule: ribosomal RNA, 497 nt
Filed under: uncultured bacterium
Lineage: Bacteria
Description: partial 16S ribosomal RNA
Rfam family: Bacterial small subunit ribosomal RNA
Source: RNAcentral
GAUGAACGCUGGCGGCGUGCCUAAUACAUGCAAGUCGAGCGAACAGACGAGGAGCUUGCUCCUCUUACGUUAGCGGCGGACGGGUGAGUAACACGUGGAUAACCUACCUAUAAGACUGGGAUAACUUCGGGAAACCGGAGCUAAUACCGGAUAAUAUAUUGAACCGCAUGGUUCAAUAGUGAAAGACGGUUUUGCUGUCACUUAUAGAUGGAUCCGCGCCGCAUUAGCUAGUUGGUAAGGUAACGGCUUACCAAGGCGACGAUGCGUAGCCGACCUGAGAGGGUGAUCGGCCACACUGGAACUGAGACACGGUCCAGACUCCUACGGGAGGCAGCAGUAGGGAAUCUUCCGCAAUGGGCGAAAGCCUGACGGAGCAACGCCGCGUGAGUGAUGAAGGUCUUCGGAUCGUAAAACUCUGUUAUUAGGGAAGAACAAAUGUGUAAGUAACUAUGCACGUCUUGACGGUACCUAAACAGAAAGCCACGGCUAACUACGUG